Molecule: long non-coding RNA, 1164 nt
Filed under: Apteryx rowi (Okarito brown kiwi)
Lineage: Eukaryota; Metazoa; Chordata; Aves; Apterygiformes; Apterygidae
Description: lncRNA (ENSARWG00000012762.1)
Source: RNAcentral
CUUAUAUGGUCAUGUUGCGGUGCGCGCGUCACGGGGGCGCCCGCGGGGCGGGGCGGGGCCCCGAGCGCCCCCGUCACCCCCGGCCCCGCCCCGGGGGUCUGCGCGUCACCCCGGGCCCCGCCCCCUGUCAACCCCGGGGACCCGCCCCGCGUCACCGCGUGUCACCCCGGGGGUCCUGCCUCACGUCACUGCCUGUCACCCCCGGGAGUCUCGUCCAGUGUCACCCCCGGGGAUCCUGUCCCGGGUCCCCCCUGCCUGACCCUGGGGGUCUUGUCUGUGUCACCCCCAGGGAUCCUGUCCCGGGUCACCCCUGCCCGACCCCAGGGGUCCCCUCUGUGUCACUCCAUGUCAUCCCCUGGAGUCCCAUCCCAUGUCCCCCCCAGCCUGUCCCCAGGGGUCCUGCCUUGUAUCACCCUGUGUCACUGUGUGUCAUUCCCAAGCCCUGCCCAUGUCACCUCUGGUGGUUCCACCCCUUGUCACCGCAUGUCACCCUGGGAGUCCUGUUCCRUGUCACUCGGGGGACUGCCCUGUGUCAUCCUCAAUCUGUCCCCCUAGGGUCCUGUCCUGUGUCACUUCGUGUCACCCCCAGCCCUGUGCCCCAGGGCUCCCCUCCCAUGUCACCCCAUGUCUCCCCCAGCUGUGUCGCCUGGAAGUCCUGUCCCCAUGUCACCCCCAGCUGUGUCCCCCAGGGUCCUGCCCUGCAUCACCCCUGUGUCACUUGUGGCCAUGUGCCCCAGGGAUCCUGCCCUGUGUCUCCCCAGUCCUGUCACCCAGGGGUCCUGCCCUGUGUCACCCUUGGCCAUGUCUCCUGGAGGUCCUUCCCCUGUGUCACCCACAGAUCUAUCUCCCUGGGGCCCUGCUCCUGGGUCACCCCAGUGUCACCCUGUGCCUGUCCCCCCGGACAUGGAUCCUGCACUCCUGUGUCACCCCUCCCCUGCUAUGUCACCCAUGGGUCCUGCCCCCCUGUGCCACCCUCAACCUUCUCCCUACCCUGUCCCACCCUUGUCCCCCAGCCCUGUCCCAUGUGUCACCCCCAUUUUACCUGACCCGUGUCCCCCAGCCUGGCACCAGUGUCACCCCCCCCCCAGCCGGGCUGGGUCCCCGCAGCCUCAGCCCGGCUUGGGGACAGAGCCGGAGUGCCCAGGGGACACUGUCCCGGGGGGC